Molecule: ribosomal RNA, 492 nt
Filed under: uncultured bacterium
Lineage: Bacteria
Description: partial 16S ribosomal RNA
Rfam family: Bacterial small subunit ribosomal RNA
Source: RNAcentral
AGUGAACGCUGGCGGUAGGCCUAACACAUGCAAGUCGAACGGCAGCACAGUAAGAGCUUGCUCUUACGGGUGGCGAGUGGCGGACGGGUGAGGAAUACAUCGAAAUCUACUUUUUCGUGGGGGAUAACGUAGGGAAACUUACGCUAAUACCGCAUACGACCUACGGAUGAAAGCAGGGGAUCUUCGGACCUUGCGCGAUUGAAUGAGCCGAUGUCGGAUUAGCUAGUUGGCGGGGUAAAGGCCCACCAAGGCGACGAUCCGUAGCUGGUCUGAGAGGAUGAUCAGCCACACUGGAACUGAGACACGGUCCAGACUCCUACGGGAGGCAGCAGUGGGGAAUAUUGGACAAUGGGCGCAAGCCUGAUCCAGCCAUACCGCGUGGGUGAAGAAGGCCUUCGGGUUGUAAAGCCCUUUUGUUGGGAAAGAAAGGCAGCAGGUUAAUACCCCGCUGUUCUGACGGUACCCAAAGAAUAAGCACCGGCUAACUUCGUG